UCUUAACCGUGCAAAGGUAGCAUAAUCAAUUGUUCUUUAAAUAAGGACUAGUAUGAACGGCAUCACGAGGGUUUAACUGUCUCCCUAUUUUAAUCAAUGAAAUUGAUCUUCCCGUGAAGAAGCGGGGAUAUAAUUAUAAGACGAAAAGACCCCAUGGAGCUUCAAACUUACUUUUAAUUACCAAAAUCCAAAACAUAUACCUGGUAAAUAUAAUAAUUGUUUUCGGUUGGGGCGACCCUGGAGAAAAAUUAAUCCUCCAAGCUGAAUAGACAAAAAUCUAAUGUUAGAGUAACAACUCAAACAAUCAAAACCUUGACAAAAUGACCCAGAAUUCAUCUGAUCAACGAACCAAGUUACCCUGGGGAUAACAGCGCAAUCCAUUUCAAGAGCCCAUAUCGACAAAUGGGUUUACGACCUCGAUGUUGGAUCGGGGUAUCCUAGCAGCGCAGCCGUUGCUUAAGGUUCGUUUGUUCAACGAUUAAUAACCCCACGUGAUCU
This 498-nucleotide ribosomal RNA is filed under the name Hyperolius marmoratus (marbled rush frog). RNAcentral describes it as "partial 16S ribosomal RNA". It matches the Rfam family "Bacterial large subunit ribosomal RNA", at positions 1940 to 2606 of the family's 2925-position model. The record is from RNAcentral. Lineage: Eukaryota; Metazoa; Chordata; Amphibia; Anura; Hyperoliidae.